AUGCAUAUGUCAAGUUGAAGCUGACAAACCUGUCAUUUCUCCCUGAACCAAUUAACGCCCCACCCCGCCUCCUCUCCUUUCACUCAUCACUGUCGGCUAACCUUGCAGUCCCAUUACACUGCUGAUCACGAUGAUGUGUCCUCCUUUCCUUUUCUUCAUGUCAGGCAUCACCUCCUUGAUCAUGCGGAUCACCCCGAAGAAGUUGGUCUCAAACACUUUCUUCAUCUCUUCAAUGGUGGUGCUUUCCACUGGACCCACUAGGCCAAUCCCUGCAUUAUUGACUGGCCAGGAGAAGACCAACAAGAGAAGAAAAAAAGAAGACAAGCAAGAAGCUGAGUAAUCAACAUAACUUUGGACAGUGUAGCAAUGCAUGGUGCCACAUGAUGAGCAUGAAUUUUACUUACUGAGAACAUCCACGUGUCGAUCUUUGAUACCAUUAAUACAUUGUUUGACUGACUCAUCGUUGCAAACGUCCAGUACAGCCAAAGAAAGAGUUUUCCCGUACGCAUCCCCGGCAGCUUCCACAAGCUUAUCUUUACGUUUCAGGUCACGCAUCGUUGCUAUCACUGUGAACAUGUGGAAAAGAAGAAAAAACAAAUAAUUGUGAGAAGCAGAUUGUUUGGCAAUGUCACAUUUACCUGAUGCUUUUAUCCAAAGCGACUUACUAUUGCUAUAUAUGUCAGAGGUCGCACGCCUCUGGAGCUACUAGGAGUUAAGUGUCUUGCUCAGGGACGCAUUGGGGGAUGUGUCACAGUGGGAAAUGAACCUGGGUCUUUAACACCAAAGGCAGGUGUCUUAUCCACUGCAACAUUGCCACCCCAAACACAUAUUCUGUCUCUGUCUAGCUUGUCAGAACAAACUGACUUAAGGAAAAUGCUUCACUGUACUAAUCAGCAAUGUAAAUGGAGCUGAAUUAAGCUUUAUAGAGAGCCAUCUGUAUCUGUUACUCACUCGGUUUUCGCAUAAUGUCUUUCUUUAGUAACUCUUUUUGAAACAUGCUCCUGUAGUUUUAUUUCCGCAUUUGGCUAGUUGACCACUUUGGUCCAGAUCAAAAUAUCUGAACUGCUAUUGGAUGGAUUGCCAUGACGUUUUGUACAGAAAGUCAUGGGCCCACGUAGGAUGAAAUGGAAUAACUCUGUUGAUCACAAAAUUUCUUAGUGCCAUCAUCAGGUCAACAAAUACGUCCAAAACUUUUGGUUUUGCAGAUUUGGUUUAAGAUCCAAUGCCUGCAAAACUAGUGACAUUCCCAUCAGUCUCAGCUGUUCUUUGUUUUUAGUGCUAAGUGUUUAGUCUUGUUUCAUCAUUGCUGUUUGCCAAUAGCCCUGUGUAUAAUUAUGCUCCUUUUAUUUCCAUGGGCAGCUUCCAAGUGAGAUUUUGUGAAUGGAUGUGAAUACUCCCUCUCUACCUGCAACUCCAGCACUACGCCUUCAGGCUACUGCUGUAAAUAGGAGUGAACGUAAAGAGUAAGAGAGAGUAAAGUUCACGAAGAACUGGGCAGGACCCAAAAAUACUGUUAAAGAGACAUGGGAUGAUAGUGCACCUACCGUGAUACCGCUUCUGGUCAUCGUUGGCCAGCAUCACGGCCAUCCUCAGGCCGAUACCGGAGGAACAGCCGGUGAUCAGCACCACUUUCUGUCCGGGACUCGCCAUGGCUCCGCUGCCUCUCCGCUCUCUUGUCACACUGAGACACCAGUAGACAGGCAGCUCUGCAGGUUGAGUGGUGAUUUGAGGUGAGAGCCACUGUAAGAGGAUAAGAGAGACAGAGAGAGAGAGUCACAUGGACAGAGCGCAACAAGACCGAGAUUAUCUAACCGGUACAAAGUCGGUUGUCCCUCUCGGUCCUGUGGAUGUCGUUGACAACUUUGUAAUUUUAUUCCAUGACGAGACAAUAAACCAUGGCUUUAGUCUUAAACUUGAUUUAAAACAAACUUCUGACUCAGUGACUUUUGGUUUCUGGCCAAUAAAAGUGUGAAGAACAAAUUGAAAAGGACCCAUUUGAUGCUACUUUUCGGUCUGUAGAAGUCAGUUUCUGCUCGGAAAAGAGAUUUGACGCCGCCCAGCGGUCAAUGCAAA
Micropterus dolomieu (smallmouth bass) is the source of this 2073-nucleotide long non-coding RNA. RefSeq lists it as uncharacterized. The record is from RefSeq and is a predicted model, not a curated record. NCBI's taxonomy places the organism in Eukaryota, Metazoa, Chordata, Actinopteri, Centrarchiformes, Centrarchidae. The transcript has 3 exons.